GUGCCAGCCGCCGCGGUAAUACGUAGGCUGCGAGCGUUAUCCGGAAUUAUUGGGCGUAAAGAGCUCGUAGGCGGUUUGUCGCGUCUGUCGUGAAAGUCCGGGGCUUAACCCCGGAUCUGCGGUGGGUACGGGCAGACUAGAGUGCAGUAGGGGAGACUGGAAUUCCUGGUGUAGCGGUGGAAUGCGCAGAUAUCAGGAGGAACACCGAUGGCGAAGGCAGGUCUCUGGGCUGUAACUGACGCUGAGGAGCGAAAGCAUGGGGAGCGAACAGGAUUAGAAACCCGUGUAGUCC
This 292-nucleotide ribosomal RNA is filed under the name uncultured prokaryote. Its description in RNAcentral is "partial 16S ribosomal RNA". It matches the Rfam family "Bacterial small subunit ribosomal RNA", at positions 505 to 796 of the family's 1533-position model. The record is from RNAcentral.